CCAGCACAUAGUGGGUCCUCACACAGGACUGCCUGGCACACAGUAGGUCCUCAGUAUGACUGUUUGAAUUGAACUGAAUCCAUUUUAGCCUGAAUAUCUUUAAGUGGUUGGAGUUGCCUGUGUGAUCUUAGGUAUUAACUCUGCAGAGGGUAAGGGCGCUGCUGGAAGGGACACAUUGGCCGCCCAGGGCUGGGGUCAGACGGUUCCUGGUGCCCAGAACUCCUCUCCUCCUACACCACCCCACACGCCAAAAGUUUCUUCUCCUACGAGCCUGUGCCUCUAACAUCUUUACAACAACAACAAUUCUUAAGGCUUUUACUCCACAAUCAGCAAAGAAGAUUUAAAAUAGCACGAGAGAAGAGGUGUGUUGACUCCAAUUCACGCUACGCAGGGAAGCACAGAGACGGCGGGAACCUCUGACACCAUUCAGUAAUUCCGAACCUUGCUGCAGGUUAGGAUCUCCAGAAGAACUUUUAAAAUUUUCUAACGGAAUCAGAGUCUCUGGAAUGGGGCCCACUGUCGGUAUUUUUAAGGCUCCCCGGUGACCCAAAUGUACAGCCAAGGAAGGAGCAUCAAGGGGUUAGCCAGUCACAUCCUUCUUCUUUUUAAGGGAAAAUGCGCCUAACAUAACAUUGACCAUGAACCAUUUGACGUGAGCCAUUCGACGGCGGUCAGUAUAUCCACAAUACCAUGCAGCCACCACCUCUCCCUAGUUCCAAGGCAUGUUCAGUGCCCCCGAAAAGAAACCCCAUACCCAUUCGGCAGGCACCCCCAGUUCCCUUUUGUCCCAACCCCUGGGAAUCACGCUAAUCUACGUUCUGUCUCCACGGAUUUACCUGCUCCAGAAAUGUCACUGAAACAACAUCGCACAACCUGUGACCUUUCCCGUCUGGCGUCUUCACGCAGCAUCAUGUCUUCAAGGUUCACGUACGUUGCAGCCUGUGCCGGGACUCUUCUCAUGGGUGAACAUCCCAAGGAGAAAUCUACCACGUGCUGUGGAUCCCCUCAACCGUCAGUGGACCUUUGGGUUGGUUUUCAUCACCUCCUUUGAAAGCUGAGGAAGUGAGGUCCAGUGAGCACAGGGGGCUUCAAGAGUCACACAGCUCUGGGAGGCAGACCAAGGCUCAGAUCCUUGUCUCUUAAUUCACACGCAAGGUCGCUUCUGACUCCGCUGCUCCUCCCCGGUGAGCAUGUCAAACCCCGCCCCCCCGUGAGGGUGUCAGCGCUCCACGAGUGAGUCCGCUCCCUGCCGAGUGUGUCAGCAGCCCGAUCUGGAGGCUGGAAGUCCAAGGUCAGGGUGCCAGCAGAUCCUGUCUCUGGUGAGGGGCUCCUCCUGGUUUGCAGACGGCCGCCUUCUCGCUGUGCUGACAUGGAGGAGAAAGAGAAAGGAGACAUUCUGGAAGGCAUGACCUCUGAGAAGAAGGGAUCCAGGACCUCAAGAGUAGGAGCAAAAGAGGAGGCUAAAACCAGGGCAGUCUGGCCCUAGUGGGCUCCCUGACAGGCAGUGAAACUUGCCUUAUCCAUCCAUCCGUCAUUCCAUCCGUCCAUCCCUCCAAGAGCUAUGGAAUACGCCCUGGAGCCCAGCGUCUCCGCAGGAGAUGGGGAUACACUGGGGAACAGACGUGACCUUGGCUGUUCUCCUGG
Long non-coding RNA from Ailuropoda melanoleuca (giant panda), 1644 nucleotides. RefSeq lists it as uncharacterized. The record is from RefSeq and is a predicted model, not a curated record. Lineage: Eukaryota; Metazoa; Chordata; Mammalia; Carnivora; Ursidae. The transcript is spliced from 4 exons.